AGUAGACCUUACAGUGAAAUGCUGAAUACAACAGGUGUAGUAAACCUUACAGUGAAAUGCUGAAUACAACAGGUGUAGUAGACCUUACAGUGAAAUGCUGAAUACAACAGGUGUAGUAGACCUUACAGUGAAAUGCUGAAUACAACAGGUGUAGUAAACCUUACAGUGAAAUGCUGAAUACAACAGGUGUAGUAGACCUUACAGUGAAAUGCUGAAUACAACAGGUGUAGUAGACCUUACAGUGAAAUGCUGAAUACAACAGGUGUAGUAGACCUUACAGUGAAAUGCUGAAUACAACAGGUGUAGUAAACCUUACAGUGAAAUGCUGAAUACAACAGGUGUAGUAGACCUUACAGUGAAAUGCUGAAUACAACAGGUGUAGUAAACCUUACAGUGAAAUGCUGAAUACAACAGGUGUAGUAGACCUUACAGUGAAAUGCUGAAUACAACAGGUGUAGUAGACCUUACAGUGAAAUGCUGAAUACAACAGGUGUAGUAAACCUUACAGUGAAAUGCUGAAUACAAC
Molecule: long non-coding RNA, 526 nt
Organism: Oncorhynchus keta (chum salmon)
Lineage: Eukaryota; Metazoa; Chordata; Actinopteri; Salmoniformes; Salmonidae
Exons: 3
Source: RefSeq, a predicted model, not a curated record